Molecule: ribosomal RNA, 468 nt
Filed under: uncultured bacterium
Lineage: Bacteria
Description: partial 16S ribosomal RNA
Rfam family: Bacterial small subunit ribosomal RNA
Source: RNAcentral
GACGAACGCUGGCGGCGUGCUUAACACAUGCAAGUCGAACGGAAAGGCCCUGCUCUUGUGGGGUUCUCGUGUGGCGAACGCGUGAGUAACACGCGAGUAUCCCGCCCUUGACUUUGGGAUAACACUACGAAACUGGGGCUAUUAUCGGAUAGGAGCUCUUGCUGCACGGUGGUGGUUGGAAAGUUUCGGCGUUUGUGGCUCGUCUCGCGGCUUAUCCGCUUGUUGGUGGGGUAGUGGCUUUCCAAGGUUUUGACGGGUAGCCGGCCUGAGAGCGUGACCGGGGACAUGGGGACUGAGAGACGGACCAGACUCGUACGGGAGGCAGCAGUGGGGAAUAUUACAGAGUGAGCGGACGCCUGAUGCAGCGGCGCCGCGUGCGGGAUGACGUCCUUCGGGUUGUGAACCGCUUUCGCCUGUGACGAAGCGUGAGUGACGGUAAUGAGUAAAGAAGCACCGGCUAACUACGUG